GGCUGGGCGGUCCACCAUUGGCUGGCACUGCCCUGGCCGGGGUUCACCUUCUGGUGAGCCAGCAUGCCCUUCGUUGGGUGAGCCGGGGAACCAGGACUUUUACUUUGAAAAAAUUAGAGUGUUUAAAGCAGGCCUAUGCUUGAAUACAUUAGCAUGGAAUAAUAGAAUAGGACCUCGGUUCUAUUUUGUUGGUUUCUAGGACCGAAGUAAUGAUUAAUAGGGAUAGUUGGGGGCAUUAGUAUUUAGUAGCUAGAGGUGAAAUUCUUGGAUUUAUGAAAGACUAACUUCUGCGAAAGCAUUUGCCAAGGAUGUUUUCAUUAAUCAAGAACGAAAGUUAGGGGAUCGAAGACGAUCAGAUACCGUCGUAGUCUUAACCAUAAACUAUGCCGACUAGGGAUCAGACGAUGUUAAUUUACUGACUCGUUUGGCACCUUAUGAGAAAUCAAAGUUUUUGGGUUCCGGGGGGAGUAUGGUCGCAAGGCUGAAACUUAAAGGAAUUGACGGAAGGGCACCACCAGGAGUGGAGCCUGCGGCUUAAUUUGACUCAACACGGGGAAACUCACCAGGUCCAGACAUAGUAAGGAUUGACAGAUUGAGAGCUCUUUCUUGAUUCUAUGGGUGGUGGUGCAUGGCCGUUCUUAGUUGGUGGAGUGAUUUGUCUGCUUAAUUGCGUUAACGAACGAGACCUUAACCUGCUAAAUAGUUAUGCCAACUCUUGUUGGUAGUCAACUUCUUAGAGGGACUGUCGGCGAUUAGCCGACGGAAGUUUUAGGCAAUAACAGGUCUGUUAUGCCCUUAGAUGUCCUGGGCCGCACGCGCGCUACACUGAUGAAGUCAACGAGUCUAU
This 847-nucleotide ribosomal RNA is filed under the name Mucoromycotina sp. RNAcentral's name for it is "SSU rRNA". It matches the Rfam family "Eukaryotic small subunit ribosomal RNA", at positions 653 to 1524 of the family's 1831-position model. Lineage: Eukaryota; Fungi; Mucoromycota. The record is from RNAcentral.